RNAcentral lists this unclassified non-coding RNA (218 nucleotides) under root metagenome. RNAcentral's name for it is "partial contains small subunit ribosomal RNA, internal transcribed spacer 1, and 5.8S ribosomal RNA". The record is from RNAcentral.
UCUCCGUAGGUGAACCUGCGGAGGGAUCAUUACACAAAUAUGAAGGCGGGCUGGAACCUCUCGGGGUUACAGCCUUGCUGAAUUAUUCACCCUUGUCUUUUGCGUACUUCUUGUUUCCUUGGUGGGUUCGCCCACCACUAGGACAAACAUAAACCUUUUGUACCAUCUGAGUCUUCCACAAAUAAACAAAACUUUCAACAACGGAUCUCUUGGUUCUG